UUAAGAUUCACUUACUGUGACUCUGAAAGCAUUUUCUCAGGCCAAUAUUUUGAAACGAUUGACUCAGCCCUAUUUACUUGUUAACAUUGUUUCCCCUUAGGCUGCACACAUACUUUUGCCAACUCUUUUUAAAUCAUUUCUUGUGGUCUGAAUGUUUGUGUCCUCUAAAAUUUAAUGUUGAAAUCCUAACCUUGAAAGACAUGGUAUGAAAAGGUAGAGCUCUGGGGAGGUGAUUAGAUCAUGAAGCAGAAUCCUAAGGACCGCGAUUAGUGCCCUUACAAAAGAGACCCUAGAGAGCUAGUCUGCACCUACCACCAUGUGAGGAUACAGUAGAAGUCAACCAUCUAUGAACCAGAAAGCAGGCCUUCACCUUCACUAGCCUUGAAUUUGCCAGCACCUUAAUCUUGGACUUCCAGCCUCCAGAACUGUCAAAAAAUAAAUUUCUAUUAUUGACAAGCUACCUAGUUUAUAGCAUAUUUUUACAACAGUCCAUAUGGAUUAAUGCACCAUUGGAGUACACAGGAGAGAUCAGAGCAACAUUUCUGAGUUUCAGUCCCCACUCUGUUACUUAAUGAUAAAUAGGAAACCCUGCCAUGUUGAAAGGAAUACAACCCAACAUGGAGUAGAAACAAGAAAUCAAGAUAUACACUCUAGGACAAGGAGCAAUAAGAAUUUGACUUAAAAUGGUUAUUUAGCAUGUAUUAGAGUUGCAACUGGAUUUUAUGUAGUUAUGAGGGAACCCUGAAAAAAGUACCAUUGAACAGAAAUGAGAUUUGGUUUCAGAACUUCAGCCCAAAUGCUAUUAAAUCUUUUGCAUUUCUUGAACUAUACCCCUUGUGUCUUUGUCAUAAUUUUCCAGAGGUCUUCUCAGUCAAUAUGGGUUCAGUUUACAUAAUCCUGUCAACUGAAUAAAGUAAAUAUGUAUUAGGCUUCUGAGUAAAGUGUAAUCAUAAGCAUUGCAUUGAUAUAAGAUAUAUAAACUCAAGGAUAUAAAGAAACAAUUUUUUUGUUCGUUUUGUUUUGGUUUUGUUUUAAGUCAAAGGAAAGGUGUGGUUCAGGAGUGAUAAAUUGCAGCCUGGUGAUCAAGAAGAUUUAAAAUUUAUCUCAACUUUACUAAAGUCUUCCUGACUAUAGGCCCCUGACCAAUCUUUUCUUGGAGCACUUACUUCAGAAAAAUUGCAAAUGUUAAUUUUUUAUUUGCUGAUGAUGUAAUAUCUGUCUCAAGUAUCUGGGAAUCAUCAAUUUGAAAAGUAAUAGGAAAGAAAGAACCCUUGUCUCCUAGUUUCAGUGAAAUGAUAGGAGUUGUAGAUAAAUACCAACUAGCAACACAAAUGGCCUAAUAACAUUGCACAACCUAUUUGAUAACAUCAUUGUCUUCCAGUACUUUUCCAGUAGCUUCCCCUGGUGCUUAAGAAUUUACCCAACUUCUGUUUGAGUGGAGUGGAGUCAUUCUUUCUCCUUCACAAUAGUGUUGAAUAAA
Molecule: long non-coding RNA, 1480 nt
Filed under: Homo sapiens (human)
Lineage: Eukaryota; Metazoa; Chordata; Mammalia; Primates; Hominidae
Description: HSALNT0108051
Source: RNAcentral